Long non-coding RNA from Cryptotermes secundus, 937 nucleotides. RefSeq lists it as uncharacterized. The transcript is spliced from 2 exons. The record is from RefSeq and is a predicted model, not a curated record. NCBI's taxonomy places the organism in Eukaryota, Metazoa, Arthropoda, Insecta, Blattodea, Kalotermitidae.
UUAAAGAUUUGUUCCUACAUUACAGAGCACCCGUACUUACAGCGUUACCUUGGAGGAAUGAUAGUUUUAAUAGUUUCCAGAUUCUUACACAAAAUAAGGUCAGCAUGAAUGAUAUUUCCUCAGUCACCAAUAAUGUGGACUAUGAGAAUCAGCUAGUGGAAAUUAGUGAUAAUCGUGUGCAUGAUACCACACUGGUAUCCACAAUUGACUGUUUUAAUCCGGGGAUAACUGCUUUCCGUUACGAGCAUGGAAACAAUGUAACAAGUGAUGACUCUUUAUGCGAGACAGUUUUUGAUUGUGUGGAGAAUGCUUCGAAGGGAAGAGUCGAAUUACAAAAGGUGGAUUAUGAAAAACAAAUAGGUCAAAUCUAUGGCACUCAAGAGAACUGAACAACUCAUAAAUCAACCAGACUAAAAAACUUCCAUCCUCUAGAAACUGAUUUUUUAUGGUGGCUCAGUGCGACCUGAGCUCUGGGCUAUGUGACAGUGCUACAGAACUGCCUGCUAGUACCAAACCCAUAGUUAUUGUGCACCACAACAUCACGGCUCACAUCUUGCUAAUUGCACUGUACAGAUUAACUUCACAUCUACUUGUAAUCACAUCUGCCUGUAAUUAAAAUGUUAAUAAAUACCAUUAAUUUUAUUUCAAAUGAAAACAACAUGAAACAGGUGUACAAAAUUGUAAGAGAGAAGAACGAUGGAAGUUAUUUAUUAUUUUACAUUGAAAAGCUGGGAGUUGUCACCCAUGGUUGGUGAGCUACAGCAAGGGUAUACUCAUCAAAAAUGGAUUGUGUUGUACACUGUCUUAUAUAUUGCUUUGUACAUUUUUAAGAGUUGUUGACAUGUAGUGUUUUGCUGUUUUCAAAUGACUUUGUCCAAUUAUGCCUUUGUAACAGUUAUGGAUGAUAAUUAAAUUAUCAAAUUAUCAAUAUUAUUAA